AGUGGCAAUAUCCGUGAAGCCAGAAUUUGCGACGGGUCCUGGAACAGUGCCAAGAGAUGCACCAAAAAUGGCUCGGAUCCUUCAGCUGGGCCUGAGGUCAGACCCUUCCGGCUCAGUGAAGAUCUGGUGUACUUACAGCUGCUAAUCCAUUAAGACAAAGUGUGGAUGUGCCGCAUUGUGAUUUUCACUUCCGUCCAGCCAAUCCAGAUAAAAUGUAAGUAUGAGACAUCUUUAGGAGGACAUGAUGGACUUCAUUCAGUCACCCUGUACUGGAAUAACAGGUUUUGGGAGAUAGAUAUGUGAAUAACCUAUAUAAAGAGAUGCAUCCA
Molecule: long non-coding RNA, 329 nt
Organism: Brienomyrus brachyistius
Lineage: Eukaryota; Metazoa; Chordata; Actinopteri; Osteoglossiformes; Mormyridae
Exons: 2
Source: RefSeq, a predicted model, not a curated record